This is a non-coding RNA of Pteropus alecto (black flying fox), 76 nucleotides long. The record is from Rfam. NCBI's taxonomy places the organism in Eukaryota, Metazoa, Chordata, Mammalia, Chiroptera, Pteropodidae.
GGUUCUAUAGAGUAGUGGUUAGCAGCACGUCUGCUUUAUACGCAGAAGGUCCUGAGUUCAAGCCCCAGCAGAGCCA